AUGAACGCUGGCGGCGUGCUUAACACAUGCAAGUCGAGCGAAGCACUUACCAUUGACUCUUCGGAAGAUUUGGUAAAUGACUGAGCGGCGGACGGGUGAGUAACGCGUGGGUAACCUGCCUCAUACAGGGGAAUAACAGUUAGAAAUGGCUGCUAAUGCCGCAUAAGCGCACAGUACCGCAUGAUACGGUGUGAAAAACCGAGGUGGUAUGAGAUGGACCCGCGUCUGAUUAGGUAGUUGGUGGGGUAACGGCCUACCAAGCCGACGAUCAGUAGCCGGCCUGAGAGGGUGAACGGCCACAUUGGGACUGAGACACGGCCCAGACUCCUACGGGAGGCAGCAGUGGGGAAUAUUGCACAAUGGGGGAAACCCUGAUGCAGCGACGCCGCGUGAAGGAAGAAGUAUCUCGGUAUGUAAACUUCUAUCAGCAGGGAAGAA
Molecule: ribosomal RNA, 438 nt
Filed under: uncultured bacterium
Lineage: Bacteria
Description: bacterial SSU rRNA
Rfam family: Bacterial small subunit ribosomal RNA
Source: RNAcentral